AUACGUAGGGUGCAAGCGUUAAUCGGAAUUACUGGGCGUAAAGCGUGCGCAGGCGGGUUUGUAAGACAGGGGUGAAAUCCCCGGGCUCAACCUGGGAACUGCCCUUGGGGCCGCAAGGCUUGAGUGCGGCAGAGGGGGAUGGAAUUCCGCGUGUAGCAGUGAAAUGCGUAGAUAUGCGGAGGAACACCGAUGGCGAAGGCAAUCCCCUGGGCCUGCACUGACGCUCAUGCACGAAAGCGUGGGGAGCAAACAGGAUUAGAUACCCUGGUAGUCCACGCCCUAAACGAUGUCAACUGGUUGUUGGGGAUUUAUUUUCUCAGUAACGAAGCUAACGCGUGAAGUUGACCGCCUGGGGAGUACGGC
RNAcentral lists this ribosomal RNA (363 nucleotides) under uncultured bacterium. Its description in RNAcentral is "partial 16S ribosomal RNA". It matches the Rfam family "Bacterial small subunit ribosomal RNA", at positions 523 to 886 of the family's 1533-position model. The record is from RNAcentral.